This 495-nucleotide ribosomal RNA is filed under the name uncultured bacterium. Its description in RNAcentral is "partial 16S ribosomal RNA". It matches the Rfam family "Bacterial small subunit ribosomal RNA", at positions 28 to 507 of the family's 1533-position model. The record is from RNAcentral.
GAUGAACGCUGGCGGCGUGCCUAAUACAUGCAAGUAGAACGCUGAAGGAGGAGCUUGCUCUUCUGGAUGAGUUGCGAACGGGUGAGUAACGCGUAGGUAACCUGCCUGGUAGCGGGGGAUCACUAUUGGAAACGAUAGCUAAUACCGCAUGACAACAGUUAUUGCAUGAUAACUGUUUAAAAGGGGCAACUGCUCCACUACCAGAUGGACCUGCGUUGUAUUAGCUAGUUGGUGAGGUAACGGCUCACCAAGGCGACGAUACAUAGCCGACCUGAGAGGGUGAUCGGCCACACUGGGACUGAGACACGGCCCAGACUCCUACGGGAGGCAGCAGUAGGGAAUCUUCGGCAAUGGACGGAAGUCUGACCGAGCAACGCCGCGUGAGUGAAGAAGGUUUUCGGAUCGUAAAGCUCUGUUGUAAGAGAAGAACGAGUGUGAGAGUGGAAAGUUCACACUGUGACGGUAUCUUACCAGAAAGGGACGGCUAACUACGUG